Molecule: ribosomal RNA, 410 nt
Filed under: bacterium enrichment culture clone ALO1_GLFRUDD03F1OX6
Lineage: Bacteria
Also listed under: 10 other names
Description: bacterial SSU rRNA
Rfam family: Bacterial small subunit ribosomal RNA
Source: RNAcentral
GAGUUUGAUCUUGGCUCAGAUUGAACGCUGGCGGCAUGCCUUACACAUGCAAGUCGAACGGCAGCACGGGAGCUUGCUCCUGGUGGCGAGUGGCGAACGGGUGAGUAAUGCAUCGGAACGUAUCCUGGAGUGGGGGAUAACGUAGCGAAAGUUACGCUAAUACCGCAUAUUCUGUGAGCAGGAAAGCGGGGGACCUUCGGGCCUCGCGCUCUUGGAGCGGCCGAUGUCGGAUUAGCUAGUUGGUGAGGUAAAGGCUCACCAAGGCGACGAUCCGUAGCAGGUCUGAGAGGAUGAUCUGCCACACUGGAACUGAGACACGGUCCAGACUCCUACGGGAGGCAGCAGUGGGGAAUUUUGGACAAUGGGGGCAACCCUGAUCCAGCCAUGCCGCGUGAGUGAAGAAGGCCUGG